CAUAUAAUAUUAUAUGUGUUUUUUUAGACACAUUCUUGGUCACGAAUGAACGUUUGUUUGUUUGA
This 65-nucleotide transfer RNA is filed under the name Phrynocephalus vlangalii pylzowi. RNAcentral's name for it is "tRNA-Pro". The record is from RNAcentral. Lineage: Eukaryota; Metazoa; Chordata; Lepidosauria; Squamata; Agamidae.